UAAAAAAUUGUCCAGUAGCAUCUUAGAGACCAACUAAGUUUGUUCUUAGUACACUGUAGUGUAUCUGAAGAAGUGUGCAUGCACACGAAAGCUUAUACCAAGAACAAACUUAGUUGGUCUCUAAGGUGCUACUGGACAAUUUUUUA
This 146-nucleotide microRNA precursor is filed under the name Podarcis lilfordi (Lilford's wall lizard). The record is from RNAcentral. Lineage: Eukaryota; Metazoa; Chordata; Lepidosauria; Squamata; Lacertidae.